Mesocricetus auratus (golden hamster) is the source of this 1398-nucleotide long non-coding RNA. RefSeq lists it as uncharacterized. Lineage: Eukaryota; Metazoa; Chordata; Mammalia; Rodentia; Cricetidae. The transcript has 3 exons. The record is from RefSeq and is a predicted model, not a curated record.
GUGUCUGCGGGAGGCAGGAGGAGCAUCCGCCCUUAUAAAGGGAAGUCACCCAGGGAGCCGGCUGCGAGGCCGCGUGUUGUCCACCCCGCCCUCGGCCGCCCCGCCCUCCCCGCCUUCGGCCACCCGGGCUACCCCCAUCCCUUCCUCCCAGAGUGGUGUUUGACCCCUUCAGACGCUCACUGCAUUGCUUUUGAGCUCGCUGUGUGGCCCGGACUCGCCUCGAACUCAAAGCAAUCCUUCUGCCUCGGCCUCCCGAGUACUAGGAUUACAAACACGCGCCACCAAUGCCCAGGCUUGCCCGCUUCCUUGGCUCGUUCUGCUCGGCCUUGUCAAGGGCCCGGACUGUGCUCUUUGGGAGUAGUAAUCUGCAGUCCCUCUGCCUAGGAAUCAGCAAGUUCGUGGGGAUGGGCUUCUUCAUUACCGCGUCUUGAUUCUGAUGAUUCCCGGACACGGACUGGGAUGUCGGGCAAGCACGUGAAAUGCAAAGAGCCAGGUGCCCGGCUCCUGAGCGGACAGACCUUCUGCAGCCGCAGUCUCCUGAUUCCGGGUAAGCCCAGAGCCGCAGACCCCAGCGGUCGCCCUGUCUUUCCGCACGGCUGCCUGAAACCAGGAGCUUCAAGACGAUGGCGAUGGCUCGCCUCUGUUCUACAGACUACAGAGCUCCACCUGAAGCUGCCAGGACAAUUUGGACAGAACCGGCCCAGACCUUCCUGACUUCACCAGGAGCAUCACGGAACAAAACCCCUACAUUUCCGGGCUAUGAGUAUCAGUAUAAGUUCAAAAGGUCCCCAGGGUUAGCUAGGGCAAAGGACAGUUUGCAGAAGAUUGUGUAAAAACAGCUGGUCGGAAAGGCAGGUGCAGAAACGUUAUUGGCCCCUUUUUGUAGGAGAUUGUUGUUGUUUGUUUGGUUGGUUAUUUUGCUUUUGUUUUUAAUUUAGAGACAGCCUCGUGUAACCUGCCCGGGCGAGCCUCCAACUUGAUCCUUCUGAUGGUGUUAAGGAAUCUUCCACCCUCAUCCCGCCCCUCCCCACCCCCACAGAAUCUACCCUCGUUUAAAAGUCACUACCCAAGGACUACUAGGUAAAAAUAGCACUCCCCCCCCGUCCUUAUUUUUUUCUUUCAGAAUCCCUCUUAGCGGAAGUGCCCGCUGGGUACAGAGAGCCUGGGGAGUCUGUCUGAGAAGUCACAGCGCCCACCAUUCCAGCAUGCUCAGGAUUCUGUACACUGCCCCCUCCCGAAGUGGAUGGAUGGCGCCAGCGAGACAGCUAAGGAAGAAAAGGCACACAGUCACUCUCAAUGGUUAACCAAUGUCGCUUGUUUACAGUGAAGAUCCGGACUCCUUUCUCAAUUGUUUAUAUGGUGGAUUACAUUGAUGGAUUUUCGUAUGUUGAACCAUCC